AACUGACUAAUCUAAUUUAUAUGCUCAAAUAUAAUAUUAAAAAUAUGAAUUUAAAAGAUUAUAAUAUGGUUUCAUCCAUUAGCCUUAGUUAGUUAGUUCAUAAUUCACACCAAAAAGCUGUUAAUUUACUUAUUCUCAGCCCAAGAAGAUGUAGGUGACCUUUUUUUUUCUUCGGAAAAACAUUAAAGAAUAUAUUUAGCUUAAACUGUGGUCUUUGGUCAUCUACAACAUGCAAGGCAUGAACUGCAGGCACAUCGAGAGUUGAAAAAACAUUCAAGCAAAAUAACUUUAAUACCUAAUGUAAAAUGACUGGUCUGCACAAGAAAACAAGCUUUAUUUGCAACAGUGUUCUACUGAAGAAAAAGUCUUGGAUGACAUGAGGACUAAGAGGUGUCAACAUGAGUCACUUCCUGACCUAGCUGACCCCGCUUGCAAUGAAAACUGCUCUGCAAUCCGCAAACUCAACUCUUCCCACUGCAUGAUGGGAAGGUCGUGGUCACCCAGAGGAGACUCUUCUUCACUUUGCUGUCUAGUCCCCUGGUCAGAGGGUGAGGGGUCAUCGGUGGUCCU
This is a non-coding RNA of Danio rerio (zebrafish), 570 nucleotides long. NCBI's taxonomy places the organism in Eukaryota, Metazoa, Chordata, Actinopteri, Cypriniformes, Danionidae. The record is from RefSeq and is a predicted model, not a curated record.